RNAcentral lists this ribosomal RNA (40 nucleotides) under Acer lobelii. RNAcentral's name for it is "partial 25S ribosomal RNA". The record is from RNAcentral. Lineage: Eukaryota; Viridiplantae; Streptophyta; Magnoliopsida; Sapindales; Sapindaceae.
GCACCGCGACCCCAGGUCAAACGGGAUUACCCGCUGAGUU